AGAAUAAGGAUCCGUAAGUGCAUACUCACAUUAACUAAAGAAAUAAAUAUGAAAGGAAAGCUCUUCCUAACAGUAAAAGGAAUAAUGAAAUUGGAAAGAUGACCAUUCUCGACCAUCAUUGUAAUAACUGAUUCAGAACAGCAGGAGGACCGCUGAUACCAGAGGAACUUGCUGACAGCCUCCUGCCUGCCUAAGCCUCUUGCCCGAGCAUUGAGAAGCUAAAAUGACUGAUUGUAAACUUUAAACUUCAAAGACCAAAACUCCACUGUGUGCAACACAUAGAACAGAUAGUCAUGCCUGUGCAGAAGACUCAGAACUUCAGCGCCAAGGCCACGUGCUCCCCCUCCCCUACCUGAAACCCCAAAUAAAAACCCUUGUCUGUAACUUUUCGGGGAGUUCAGGAUUACAGCAUUAGCUGCCUGUUCUCCCUGCUCAGCACUUUGCAGUAAAAUUCCCACUUUCUUCCACUACACCCUGUGUCAGAGAUUGGCUUGCUGCGCAAUGGGUGAGUAAACUCACUUUAAGUUCGAUAUCAAAUUUGGCGACCCAGAUGGGACUGUGUUCAAUGUGGACGUCUCACCUCUGGCACACCAGCCUCUGGCUAAAGGCCUCUCUUGGAGGCUGUCCUGCAGCUGCCUGAGCCCCUUGUCUCAGGGACAACCCCAAGCAACUGGCUGCUGACCAGACAUCGUUGGCCCACGGCACUUUUGCUUUUGGUGGUGGAAGAAGCAAGGUUGGGGAUUUGGGAAGAUAUCUCUUACUGGCCCAGAACUAACAUCUGCUGCCAAUUCUCGUCCUUUUGCUGAGGAAGACUGGCCCUGAGCUAACAUCUGUGCCCAUCUUCGUCUACUUUUUAUAUGUGGGACUCCUACCAUAGCAUGGCUUGACAAGCAGUGCCAUGUCCUCACCCGGGAUCUGAACCGGCAAACUUCGGGCCGCCAAAGGGGAACGUGCGAACUUAACUGCUGCGCCACCGGGCCGGCCCCUGGAUGUAGGACACAAGUGGAAACACUGGUUAUAUUACCCCGACUUUGACUGGAAUGUCAUAUUUGAAAAAAGUGUAUAAACUCAGAUAUGACCAUAUAACUUUUGAGGAACAAAGGUUGUCUUUAUGAAAUAAAGCCACUUGGAAAUAUUGGCCUGGUACCUUGCGAACAGGAUACCCAGGAACCUUACCAGGUGAGUAAAGAAGGUCACUUCCCUGGCAGGUGCAAGAACCUAAGGAUGUUUGAAGGAUCUCGAGAAGAGAGGAAUUCACCCAAAUCUGUGGGUGUUUCAGGCAGAAUCUGAUGACAAGUCCUUCGCUUGGCUUUCCUGGCCUCAAGAGGCCUUUAAAGUUCAAUCUGAGAUUCCUUACAAAACGUUCCAUCAAAGCAGAUUUAAAGGAGCCUCUAUGAUCAAUUGCUGUUCCUGCUGUAGUUUUGUAAAUGGUUUCAAGUUUACUGAAACUAGACUUAUUUUGUGAACCAAUCAGUCUUAAUUUGACUAUCUUCAGUAAAAAUGAGGGUGAUUUUAGAGAGAAAAAUUGUGUUUCAAUAGAAACUAUAAUACACAUUUGUGGAUAUUAGAUUCUGGUUCUGUUAAUUGUAUUUGAGAUUUUAGUUUUCUAUCUGCAAACUGAAGCUUGACAACUUGAUGUAAACUUAAGAGAGAACACCAUGCUAGCCCAUAUUUAGAAAAUCUUCAUGCCUGUUGCUGUAUAAACCACUCAAAAAGUUUGCCUGAGCACCUGAUGACAUCAUCAGAGACAUUUCAAACUGUAGGGGAUACUUCAACCCUGACAUCUAGAAAUCUUGACGGGUCAUCCCCUGGGCUCAGGAAUUUAUUUAUAAUUUGCUCCACCCAUUAACCUUGUUUUCGUUUUGUUUCUCUAGAAAUGCUUCUUAUUAAGUACCUGGUUACUUGCUUACAGAAUAUAGGCCUAGCUUUGGGAGACCCUUCCUAUGUUCUAGAGAUGAUCCAAAAGAACCAGAGAGAACUCAAAUUAAGGAACUAGACGCUGUCAGAUGUUCCUCUGCAUCAUCUUUGUAGUGGAGACUGAAUCCUAUUAAAGUCCUGAAAACACAAGCACCCAGAAGAUCAACUUCAUCCCCACUGAAUGGGACCAUACAAGAAAUGCCACAAGGGAACAGAAACCAUGCCAUAGAAGAACAUCACAACCAGGAUCACCCAAAUCUUGGCUGGCUUCAUACUCUAGACACUCACUUCUCUGAAUGGACAAAUGAACCUCUGAUAGACCUCAAGUUGCUAUACAGAAGACAGUCUCCUAAAGAUAAUAAAUGACUCUCAGAUUCUUACCUUACUUGUUGGACUACUAAACAGCAUGCUAUUUAGUUACAUCAGAUUUCACUUGAAGUUCCAGGCCCUAACCUUGAUUGGUUUACAGGCCUCUUCUCCUGGAUUCCCCAAGGAGUAAGGUCCAUUGUGGAGGGGAUACUAAAAUUUUGGUUGUGUAUUUUGCUAAUAUGUGUGGUUGUCUAUGUAAUCAUAAAAUGUGGACUUAUGUGUUGUUCUGAAGACAUUGAUCAGAGUAGUAAAAUAUUAGUCAUGCAGAACAUACCUCACUCUCCCCCAUCUGGUACCCAAGAAUAUUUUUUAAAUAAAGGUAGAACAAUUUCAUUUCUCUGACCUCAAACUUUGCCCUUUCACAGCAAGACGCAGCUAGAGCAGUCUUCACCCCCAUUUCCCAAGAUUGAGGAAUGAUCAAAAGAGAGGGGGGCAUUGAAACUGAGGAUGAAGCAGUCAAAAUUUCGCUGGAUUAAGGUGAAAUUGUGCCUUGUACCCACAAGAUUAAUGUGGGAAACAAAAUAACCAAGGUUUCUGAGCUUGUCUUGCAGAACAGCAGGAGGACCGCUGAUACCAGAGAAACUUGCUGACAGCCUCCUGCCUGCCUAAGCCUCUUGCCCGAGCAUUGAGAAGCUAAAAUGACUGAUUGUAAACUUUGGAUGUCACAGACCAAAACUCCACCGUGUGCAACAGAUAAUCAUGCCUGUGCGAGGACUUUUAGAACUUCAGCGCCAAGAACUUCAGCUCCCCCUGCCCUACCUAAAACCCCAAAUAAAAACCCUUGCUUGUAGCUUUUUGAGAGUUCUGGAUUACAGCAUUAGCUGCCUAUUCUCCCUGAUCAGUGCUUUGUAAUAAAAUUCCUACUUUCUUC
Molecule: long non-coding RNA, 3157 nt
Organism: Equus caballus (horse)
Lineage: Eukaryota; Metazoa; Chordata; Mammalia; Perissodactyla; Equidae
Source: Ensembl